This 460-nucleotide ribosomal RNA is filed under the name uncultured bacterium. RNAcentral describes it as "partial 16S ribosomal RNA". It matches the Rfam family "Bacterial small subunit ribosomal RNA", at positions 338 to 795 of the family's 1533-position model. The record is from RNAcentral.
CCUACGGGUGACAGCAGUGAGGAAUAUUGGUCAAUGGACGAGAGUCUGAACCAGCCAAGUAGCGUGAAGGAUGACUGCCCUAUGGGUUGUAAAUUUCUUUUAUAAGGGAAUAAAACGAGGCACGUGUGCCUUUUUGCAUGUACUUUAUGAAUAAGGAUCGGCUAACUCCGUGCCAGCCGCCGCGGUAAUACGUCGGUUCUGGGCGUUAUCCGGAUUUAUUGGGGUGAAAGGGAGCGUAGAUGGGUUGUUAAGUCACUGGUGAAAGUUUGCGGCUCAACCGUAAAAUUGCAAUUGAUACUGGCAGUCGUGAGUACAGGUGAGGUAGGCGGAAUUCGGGGUGUAGCGGUGAAAUGCGUAGAUAUCACGAAGAACCCCGAUUGCGAAGGCAGAUUACUAAACUGUGACUGACAUUGAUGCGCGAAAGUGUGGGUAUCAAACAGGAUUAGAUACCCGUGUAGUC